This is a small nucleolar RNA of Microtus oregoni (creeping vole), 128 nucleotides long. RefSeq annotates it as small nucleolar RNA SNORA81. The record is from RefSeq and is a predicted model, not a curated record. NCBI's taxonomy places the organism in Eukaryota, Metazoa, Chordata, Mammalia, Rodentia, Cricetidae. The transcript has a single exon.
AAAUAAAUAAAUAAACUCUGAUGCUAGCAGAGCACACAUAAGAAAAGUAACUGCACUGGAUACCAAAGACGGGUGGACCUCUUUCUUAAUGUCCAGUGUCCUUUGUCUUAAGAUUUGGUGCAAUAAGU